GAAAUGGGUGAAAACGGUCAAAACGACCAUGUUCGUCCAUGUUCGUGUGCUAUAGCUCACGGAAAACGGGUGAAACGUAUGGAUAGGCCAGGAACACAUGGAAAUGGGUGAAAACGGGCUAAACGACCAUGCUCGGGGGACAGAAACGGGUGAAAACGGCCAAGUACGGUGGAGACACACGGCCUGGACAUGGUGGCCACGCACGGCUGACCGGGCCAUGGCCGCCGCCGCGCUGGCCAUGGCCGGCCGGCCGGCAGAUGGCCGUCCGGCCGCUAGCUAGGGCCGGCCAA
This 290-nucleotide unclassified non-coding RNA is filed under the name Hevea brasiliensis (rubber tree). The record is from RNAcentral. Lineage: Eukaryota; Viridiplantae; Streptophyta; Magnoliopsida; Malpighiales; Euphorbiaceae.